Non-coding RNA from Babesia ovis, 74 nucleotides. Lineage: Eukaryota; Apicomplexa; Aconoidasida; Piroplasmida; Babesiidae. The record is from the annotation of a GenBank genome assembly.
AGAAAGAUGUCCGAGAGGUUAAAAGAUGUAAAUUGCUAAUUUAUUAUUCAAGGGUUCGAAUCCCUUUCUUUCUU